RNAcentral lists this ribosomal RNA (433 nucleotides) under uncultured bacterium. RNAcentral's name for it is "partial 16S ribosomal RNA". It matches the Rfam family "Bacterial small subunit ribosomal RNA", at positions 29 to 507 of the family's 1533-position model. The record is from RNAcentral.
AACGAACGCUGGCGGCAUGCCUAACACAUGCAAGUCGAACGAGACCUUCGGGACUAGUGGCGCACGGGUGCGUAACGCGUGGGAACCUGCCCUUAGGUUCGGAAUAACUCCCCGAAAGGGGUGCUUAUACCGGAUAAUGUCUUCGGCCCAAAGACUUAUCGCCUUUGGAUGGUCCCUCGUUGGAUUGGCUAGUUGGUAGGGUAAAAGCUUACCACGGCGACGAUUCAUAGCUGGUCUGAGAGGAUGAUCACCCACACUGGGACUGAGACACGGCCCAGACUCCUACGGGAGGCAGCAGUGGGGAAUAUUGGACAGUGGGCGAAAGCCUGAUCCAGCAAUGCCGCGUGAGUGAUGAAGGCCUUAGAGUUGUAAAGCUCUUUUACCCGGGAUGAUAAUGACAGUACCGGGAGAAUAAGCUCCGGCUAACUCCGUG